GCGAUGAUAGUGAUUGAAGUGAUAGUAGAGGUGGCGUUACUAGUGACAAUAGUGGUGGCCGCUAAAGAAUGUGUAGAGGUUGUGAUGUAUUAGUGGUAGUUAGCGGUGGUGCUAGUUGUAAUAGAUGAGUUAGUUGAUAGUAGGGAUUGGCCGGUAGUGGUUGAUAAUGGCGGUACUGUUGACGACGGUGGUGGCGCUAAAUAUAAUUAUAAUUAUAAUAAUAGAGGUAGUAGGUGUAGUAGCGGUUGACAAUAGUGGUUGAUAACAAUAUUUGUUGUCGAUGAUGGUUAUGAUGGUAGAGGUGGUUGGUAGUUGACAAUGAUGGCGGUGGCAGAGGUGGUGACUGAUGAUUAUGAAUAGAGUGGCGGUGAAUAUUAUCCAACACUAGAAUAUCUCUUCAGACCUAUUAAGACUUGAUUCUAUAUCUGAAUGACUAAGACCUAUUCAGACCUAUUAAGAGAUAAAAUCUUAAUAAA
Molecule: long non-coding RNA, 476 nt
Filed under: Capsicum annuum
Lineage: Eukaryota; Viridiplantae; Streptophyta; Magnoliopsida; Solanales; Solanaceae
Description: long non-coding RNA (CANN_LNC020176)
Source: RNAcentral